AUACGUAGGUGGCAAGCGUUGUCUGGAUUUACUGGGUGUAAAGGGCGAGUAGGCGGAGAUGCAAGUCAGGAGUGAAAUCUAGGGGCUCAACCCCUAAACUGCUUUUGAAACUGUAUCCCUUGAGUAUCGGAGAGGCAGGCGGAAUUCCUAGUGUAGCGGUGAAAUGCGUAGAUAUUAGGAGGAACACCAGUGGCGAAGGCGGCCUGCUGGACGACAACUGACGCUGAGGCGCGAAAGCGUGGGGAGCAAACAGGAUUAGAUACCCUGGUAGUCCACGCUGUAAACGAUGAAUACUAGAUGUGGGGGGACUGACCCCCUCCGUGCCGCAGUUAACACAAUAAGUAUUCCACCUGGGGAGUACGAUCGCAAGAUUGAAACUCAAAUGAAUUGACGGGG
This 396-nucleotide ribosomal RNA is filed under the name uncultured bacterium. RNAcentral's name for it is "partial 16S ribosomal RNA". It matches the Rfam family "Bacterial small subunit ribosomal RNA", at positions 523 to 918 of the family's 1533-position model. The record is from RNAcentral.